GAUGAACGCUAGCGGGAGGCCUAACACAUGCAAGCCGAGCGGUAUUUGUUCUUCGGAACAGAGAGAGCGGCGCACGGGUGCGGAACACGUGUGUAACCUGCCUUUAUCUGGGGAUAGCCUUUCGAAAGGAAGAUUAAUACCCCAUAAUAUAUUGAGUGGCAUCAUUUGAUAUUGAAAACUCCGGUGGAUAGAGAUGGGCACGCGCAAGAUUAGAUAGUUGGUGAGGUAACGGCUCACCAAGUCAAUGAUCUUUAGGGGGCCUGAGAGGGUGAUCCCCCACACUGGUACUGAGACACGGACCAGACUCCUACGGGAGGCAGCAGUGAGGAAUAUUGGACAAUGGGUUAGCGCCUGAUCCAGCCAUCCCGCGUGAAGGACGACGGCCCUAUGGGUUGUAAACUUCUUUUGUAUAGGGAUAAACCUACUCUCGUGAGAGUAGCUGAAGGUACUAUACGAAUAAGCACCGGCUAACUCCGUG
Molecule: ribosomal RNA, 478 nt
Filed under: uncultured bacterium
Lineage: Bacteria
Description: partial 16S ribosomal RNA
Rfam family: Bacterial small subunit ribosomal RNA
Source: RNAcentral